RNA transcript from Drosophila simulans, 3468 nucleotides. It is a transcript of the gene named transmembrane protein 245, with no coding region annotated. The record is from RefSeq and is a predicted model, not a curated record. The transcript is spliced from 10 exons. NCBI's taxonomy places the organism in Eukaryota, Metazoa, Arthropoda, Insecta, Diptera, Drosophilidae.
UAUCGGCUGGCUGCCAGUGUUGCAAACCGACCCACUUCACAGCCCUGCCCGCCUGACGUAAUUUGGCAGAAACGACGUAUUUUUGUUUAUGUGAGCCCGCUCCCCGCCCCUCAUAAAGUGAGUGGCCAGCUGCUCGUCCAAUGACCACCUCUAGUUGCGGAAAUUAGUAUCUCCUUGUCGGAAUCCCUCCCAGGCCCCGUCGGAAUCCAUCUGUUGCUGACCACUGAACACUGAGGCAUUUCAUCAAAAUUCCCCGUUCCUCCGGGCACACACAAAAUGAAUCGGUCCGAACCGAUUCCCAUUCGACGGGACCGCUCUUUUGACAGUGUGAUCAACCGCCUGCUCCGGAUGAGGUCCCAGAAUCAUGAGAGCUUUCGCGCCGCCAUGUACAAUUUCCUGAUCGCCGCAGGAGUGGCGGCAUUCGUGGCUGUGUGCUUCAUUCUUGGGCCCUUCGUCCGUCCAUUGCUGUGGGCCUUCCUCAUGGGCGCCGUGCUCUUCCCAUUCAAGCGACGUUUGGCGGAGAGCGUAAACAGUUGGUUUCACCGCUUGGAGGUGCGCGACUCCAAUGUACUGGUCUCGAUCUGCCUAUCGCCGCUGGAAGCCACAGAGCAUUGCGGGCGGUUGCUGAUCGGUUGGCUCUGCGAACACUGGCAACUCCUCCUGGCCGGAUGCGGAGUGGCCGGGUGCAUUAAGCUGCUGGUUCUAUACGCACCGAAGGGUUUUCUGCUGGCCAUCUGGCAUUGGAUCACCUUUUCCCAUGGCUUGUUCGUUCAAAUUAUUGGAUUCCUCAACGUAUACGUGCUCAUUUCCUUGAUCGUGGUCUACUUGAGCUGCGUCCACUUCUUCUGGAAGCCAGAGAACAGUGCCCACUUCGUGGUCGCCGGACAAUCCAUGUGGAUAGCUGUGGCGGGCUAUCUGAGUAGCUUUCUGGGCGCCCUGCAGGUGCCGGUAUUUUUACUGGUUAUGGCAUAUGUAACAGCGUCUACGGCGUAUCAUCUGCAGACCCUAGAUGAUUCGGGAUCAUAUCUUCACCGCCUGCAAAAGCUGUUCGACAAGAACGAUUUUGAGCGGUCGUUAAGCAACUUCAGCAUUUGUGGCAGACCAGGCCAUGAGCCACUGAGUCCGGGGCUGCAGUCGGAUGUGGAGGAUGUAUCGUUAAGUGACACUGUCGACUCGACGGAUACAUUUGAUGUCAAGCCAGGAACGGAGACUCCCAGUCACCAGAGCGACACGUUCUUUAAGCUGCUUUUUUAUGCCUGCCUGGGCACAUUCCUCUAUCGCAACGUGUGGAUGUUUAUCCUAGCGGCAAUCCCAGUUAUUCUGCAUCUUAUCUACACCGUAGGAGAGUAUACGGGGAUUACUCAGUUUGUUUACAACAAAAUUAGCGAAGUUUACGCAGCGCUGCGUUUCUGGGCAAUCGAACACCAUUCUGCCGUGCUGCCACUCUGUCUACCUGGUGUCCUGGAACUCAACUAUAAAAUCAACACUAUCGUGCGGGAUUCACUAAAGGCCUCCGUUGAAUCAGUCACCUCCAUCCUAAUGAUCAUCCUCAUGCUUCUCAUCAUCGUGUUUCUAAGCGUGUUCUUCUGCGUGAACAUUUACUCGGAGACGAUUGAGGUGGCUUACCUGGGCAAGGAUUUAAUUAACAAGACGAUCACAGAUCGGCCUGAGCUAAUUGACAUCUUGCCUGCCAACAUGCAAUCGUCCAUCGAGGAUGCUCUUGAUAACGCUCACCAUUAUGGUCGCCGUAAGAUUGAAACCUACAUAGACGACUGGCUGGCAGACGCCGAUAAGGUGCACGCCACCAAGUUGAAGGAGCAGAUCCUCGAAGUGUGGGACCGGCUCAUCCAGUAUUGGAUCGAUUUCAAUAAGGCCGGUUCAUCGUACGGACCGCGGGUACCAACGGAUGCCCUGAAAAGCACAUUUGGCGAAAUCGUCGACAAUCCAGGACAUUUUAAAGAGCUAGUUUUAGUGGCAAAACAGGGCAUUAUCGGCUGGGCGCAAAGCAAUACGCAGACGAUCCUCGAGGUUGCAGAGUCGUUGUGGCACAUCAUCCGGACCAACAUGUCUAUGAUAAUGGGCGUGACCGGGGAGAUUCUAUCCCUUGUGCUUUCGGGUGGACAAGCGUGCAUUGAGUUUAUUCUAGAUAUGAUUGUAUUCUUUACCGCUCUGUUCUACCUGCUCUCGAGUAGUCAGGAGAAGUACGCGCCUCUGCAGAUCACCAAGUACCUGGGCUAUUCCAGCUCGGGUAUCAAAAUCGCCGAUGCCCUGGAGAACUCCAUAACCGUAGUCCUAGUCUCAAUGUUCAGGUGCUCCACCUUUACUGGCCUGUUCACCUGGUUGGUCCAUACGGUUUUUGGGGCCCGGAUAGUGUUCCUGCCGUCCGCCUUGGCAGCUAUGUUGGCUGCUGCUCCUUUCCUAGGCAGUUACUGGUGUGCGGUGCCAGCUUUCCUAGAGCUUUGGCUGGCUCAGGACCGUUUCUAUGCAGGACUUAUAUUGUUCCUGCUUCAGUUCUUCGUGCCAUCAUCAUUUGAAACUGCUAUAUACGCGGACCUCAAAGGUGGUGGACAUCCCUACCUCAACGGCCUGGCCAUAGCAGGCGGAAUGUAUUGGAUCGGUUGGCAAGGAGCUAUUUUCGGACCUCUGAUGCUUUGCUUCUUCAUCGGCCUUUUUGAGGUGGCCACGCUGGCCAUGCGUAGUCAUCAAGAGCCCAGUAUGAACCACAUCAGACUUGUGCGGCAGGAAUUGAAAGGAUAUAUUGAUUUUUGUCUGAAGCUUGCAAUGCAGGAAUUCCCUAGCCAUGUCCAUCUGUUCGUGAAGGAAAAUUUUCCAAAAUGGUUCUUUCUUUGCCAAAAACGGCCUGGAUCAGAAUAUUUUAUUAUACAGCUGCCUUAGUAACAGUCGGAAUAAUGGAAAUGAUACCCGUUUGAACAUAAAUUGUUCUUAUUCGCUAUAAGAAAUUCUUUUUUUUUUUAUAUAUGUUUAAUGACUGCAAGGGAACAGUACGGACGAGGAGCGGACCACGUGAGUUGGCAUGGACCAGUAACUACGAAUUUCCUUUUAAUACUCGAACUGCGAACUAACAUAAGCUGUGUGGCCAAAUACCUGACAAUCAAAAUGAGAUUGGCCCGAAUAUCAUACCCUAGACUUAGGCUGGAGCUUCCUUUAACUAUUGUUGUUCGUUUCUCAGUUGCAAAUCUUACGGCCUUGCGAACUUUGAUUUUUAUUAGUACUAAAGUUUUUAAGUAUUCAAUAUGCCGUCUAUGCAGCAAGCGCUCCUUAAUAUCUCUUCUAUCGAUCUUAGUGUUCUUACAUACAAAAUGUACCUCGAAUUGUUUGUAGUCGCGAAACAUUUCCAAAGCCUUUAAGUACCGAUAUCGUGCUCGCUACUAAUUGCUUAAUGUAAAAUUGUGAUGUGUUUAAACUUAGAUACAAAAUGUGUUGCAAAUAUAUUUCUGUACUAACUAA